CUUCCCUUCUAGCACAAUUUUAACCACGAAUACAAGCUCUACCAUUUUCGGUUACCGUUCAUCAUCUCCUACCUCCAGCUUUCUUCGAUUUUUCUGCAUUUUCUGUUUUGUCUACAAUUGCUUGGGUUCCAACAUAACUAUCUUUUACUUUUAGAAAUUUACCCAGAAUCCAAUAUUAUUGUUUUUUGUGUUGGAGGAAGGACUCAAAUAUCGUUAUUCAAGGGGCAGGUUGAAGAGGAGAAGGGUGGAUUCAAGGCUAGUGACCGUAUCCAUAGGCUUGUUGGCAGGCUAUAAUUAUGGCAUUAAUCUCAUCGUUGAUAUCAAUUAUGUGAUCUUAUUUUAUUGCAAACUGACUCCUCCUUCAAAACAAAUGCUUCUGAUGUAUACGUUGUUGAGUCAAACAUGUUGAUCAUGCUCGCAAAUCAGAGCAGGCAGUGAAGGUAAGUUGGAACCCAAUAUGUCAGCUUCACCAAUUAUUGCACAAGUACACGUAUUACUCGCAUGCUUUGCUCAAUUAAGAAAUCAUUAAUAUCAUAAUCACCAAAUUUUAAUAUAAAGAAAAAAUGUGUGGACUAAUAGUGUAAGAGUUUUUUACCGUAUCACUGUAUUAUUCAUCAUUCAUUUUCAAUCAUCAUUGACUCUUAAAUAAAGUAAAAGUAAUACAAAUGAAUUAUGAAUGAUAUAUUGACUGUGUAUAAAUUUUUACACUGUCAAUACAUAAAUAUUACACUCUUAAAUAUAUAUAUACAAUCAGAUAAUUUACAUAUUAAUAUGUGACUUCAUAUUUUGAAAUCAUUUAAUAAUUAACUUGUUUUUAAUGUUAUUGAACAUUUCUCCCACAAUAUAAGUCAUUAGACAAUUACUAUUCAUGCAUCAUUCAUUCGAUUAUACAAUCUAUUUUUCAUAAUCUGCAAGUUGAAAAACUUUUUCUAUAGUUAUUAUUAGGGAUGGUAAUGAAAACCGAAUUCGUGGGUACCCGUCCGAUCACAACCUGAAUUUAACGGGUUAAACAUGUUGUUACUGGGUUCAGGUUCGGGUUUUACCCUGUAUUAAAUUUCGGGUUCGAGUUUAGUAUAUGUGAUACCCUAACCCGAACUCACCCCAAUUGAAAAAUUAAAUAAACUAAUAUAUUUCCUAAAUCCUAACCUAGUUUUGUUACACUAAACUUGAGUGGGGCACAAUUAGAAAGAAAGUCUCCAUCUUCUCCUUCUCUAGUUCUUUUUCUCCGUUCAGUCUAUAUCUUCUCCAGUUUUUCUUCGUCUUCGUUUGUCUUCUCCGUUCAGUUCGAAUUUCGUUAUUCGUCUUCUCCAUUUGUCUUCAAGAAGAAAGAGGAAGGUGCAACAUGAUCAACCAUUUCAAAGGCGUGCUAUUAUUACUGAUGUUGCAACUUACAAGCCUAGAGAGUUGUUCAAAUAAUUGUUCAAAGGGGCUGCACAGGUAAUUGUCCAAAUGGAAUAUUUUUUAUUUAUU
Lupinus albus (white lupine) is the source of this 1470-nucleotide non-coding RNA. The record is from the annotation of a GenBank genome assembly. NCBI's taxonomy places the organism in Eukaryota, Viridiplantae, Streptophyta, Magnoliopsida, Fabales, Fabaceae.